GAUGAACGCUGGCGGCGUGCCUAAUACAUGCAAGUCGAGCGAACAGACGAGGAGCUUGCUCCUCUGACGUUAGCGGCGGACGGGUGAGUAACACGUGGAUAACCUACCUAUAAGACUGGGAUAACUUCGGGAAACCGGAGCUAAUACCGGAUAAUAUAUUGAACCGCAUGGUUCAAUAGUGAAAGACGGUUUUGCUGUCACUUAUAGAUGGAUCCGCGCCGCAUUAGCUAGUUGGUAAGGUAACGGCUUACCAAGGCAACGAUGCGUAGCCGACCUGAGAGGGUGAUCGGCCACACUGGAACGGAGGCACGGUCCAGACUCCUACGGGAGGCAGCAGUAGGGAAUCUUCCGCAAUGGGCGAAAGCCUGACGGAGCAACGCCGCGUGAGUGAUGAAGGUCUUCGGAUCGUAAAACUCUGUUAUUAGGGAAGAACAAAUGUGUAAGUAACUAUGCACGUCUUGACGGUACCUAAUCAGAAAGCCACGGCUAACUACGUG
This 497-nucleotide ribosomal RNA is filed under the name uncultured bacterium. RNAcentral describes it as "partial 16S ribosomal RNA". It matches the Rfam family "Bacterial small subunit ribosomal RNA", at positions 28 to 507 of the family's 1533-position model. The record is from RNAcentral.